RNAcentral lists this ribosomal RNA (301 nucleotides) under uncultured bacterium. Its description in RNAcentral is "partial 16S ribosomal RNA". It matches the Rfam family "Bacterial small subunit ribosomal RNA", at positions 509 to 809 of the family's 1533-position model. The record is from RNAcentral.
CAGCCGCCACGGUAAUACGUAGGUGGCAAGCGUUGUCCGGAAUUAUUGGGCGUAAAGGGCUCGCAGGCGGUUUCUUAAGUCUGAUGUGAAAGCCCCCAGCUCAACCGGGGAGGGUCAUUGGAAACUGGGAAACUUGAGUGCAGAAGAGGAGAGUGGAAUUCCACGUGUAGCGGUGAAGUGCGUAGAGAUGUGGAGGAACACCAGUGGCGAAGGCGACUCUCUGGUCUGUAACUGACGCUGAGGAGCGAAAGCGUGGGGAGCGAACAGGAUUAGAUACCCCCGUAGUCCCUGUCUCUUAUAU